GAUGAAGAACGCAGCGAAAUGCGAUAAGUAAUGUGAAUUGCAGAAUUCAGUGAAUCAUCGAAUCUUCGAACGCACAUUGCGCCCGCUAGUAUUCUGGCGGGCAUGCCUGUCCGAGCGUCAUUUCAACCCUCAAGCCCCCGGGCUUGGUGUUGGGGAUCGGCGAGCCUCCGCGCCCGCCGUCCCCUAAAUCUAGUGGCGGUCUCGCUGUAGCUUCCUCUGCGUAGUAGCACACCUCGCACUGGGAAACAGCGCGGCCACGCCGUUAAACCCCCAACUUCUGAACGUUUGACCUCGGAUCAGGUAGGAAUACCCGCUGAACUUAAGCAUAUCAAUAAGCGGAGGA
Molecule: unclassified non-coding RNA, 343 nt
Filed under: soil metagenome
Description: partial contains 5.8S ribosomal RNA, internal transcribed spacer 2, and large subunit ribosomal RNA
Rfam family: 5.8S ribosomal RNA (bases 1-120)
Source: RNAcentral